AUGAAAAAAUGUACAGGGAGAAAAGAGGAGGAGGAAAAGUUUCUCAUAACUGAUUAUUUUAUCACCUACCUAGAAAAAUCUGCGUUUUGGUAUAAGUUUGUUCUUUUUAUGAUGGUUCUCAUCAGGCAAUAUAAUCUAUUUUUCUUUUCUCUUGGUCCCUUUCCAUUAUGCAAAAAGAUGGAAGAGGGUGGGAUCCAGAAAGAGGAUGAUGUAGAAUGAUGCCACCCCCUCCACUGCCUUUGUAAACUCAGAGGCGUACCUGGUAACAUUAUAUGAUGUGUCAGUACGGAAACAAGCUCUUUUCUAAUAUUUCUGGUGAUAGCUUUUAGUUACAUUUUUCCUUCCUUAGUGCAUGAACAAAUCUAGCAUUUAAAAAACAACCUGAGAUUGACUGUAUGCAAAGGAAUAAAUAUGUAGAUAAGUAAGUGAGAGUAUCUGAUUAAUAGAUUAUUUGAAUUUUAGGUCAUAUAAAGGAUGUAGGAGGACAUGGCAGGAAGGAUGGGAGGAGGAAAAGAGGAUUUAGACUCUGUCCACAACCUGAUAAAUCUAUCUCAGUAAAAGUGAGGGGAUUCAUUUUCAGUGGGAGUACAAUUAGUAUAGACCAUAGUUUUGGCUUUCACCUGGACAUUCCUGACUCACUUUGAAUAAUUUGGGAUUGAAACCUAGAAAAGAUAACAGCAUAGCAUGGAUGCUUAGUGUCUCCUGAUGAUGCAGCAAUCAAAAUCAGCACCCAAACUCAAAACUUUCAGAAGAAGCUAAUAUCUGUUCUGGGCCAGCAACAAGAUGUGUGCCAAAGGGAUGUGUAUAGGCAUAGGAGUAUCUGAGAAGAUGCAUCAGUCUCAGCUUGUGGUGGCUUUCAAAUGAAACCAAACUGAUCUCAAUUAACCAGGGUAAUAUUCUUUUGUAAAAAAUAAAACCUUACUACUAUCAACAAAAGCAUAUGAAAAAUCAGUGGGUUUAGUAGAAGGCAGCAGGGAAAGAAAAAAGGUGAGAAAUAUGAGUUUGCAUUUCUCCAUUCUUUAUGGUAUGAAGGAAAAACUGCCACAAGGGAUGAUAGUUUGCUAUUUUUCAUUGCAAAAACAAACACAUAUUUUAAGCAUCUGUAACUGAUCAAAAUUGCACUCAUCUCACAAGCUAGUAAAGUAAUGCUCAAAAUUCUCC
Molecule: long non-coding RNA, 1161 nt
Filed under: Capra hircus (goat)
Lineage: Eukaryota; Metazoa; Chordata; Mammalia; Artiodactyla; Bovidae
Description: lncRNA (ENSCHIG00010032097.1)
Source: RNAcentral